RNAcentral lists this long non-coding RNA (623 nucleotides) under Homo sapiens (human). RNAcentral's name for it is "non-protein coding lnc-MRPS27-1:2". The record is from RNAcentral. Lineage: Eukaryota; Metazoa; Chordata; Mammalia; Primates; Hominidae.
GCGGGCGUGGCCCUAGGACUAGCCUAGUCAUUCUGAGGAAAGAAAGGAUCGGGAGGUUUGAAAUCAGAAAAGGCGUUUCUCAGGGGCUGAGGUAGCCGUGGUGAGGAUGAAUCCCACGCGGGCCCUGGCACAUGGGCUUCGGCCCCAGGUCUGCGGUGGUGGGGGUCCCAGCCUUUUCCUGAGGCCAGAAGAGGACUGAAAGGAGUGGUUGCAUCAGGUCUCCCCCACCCUUCUGCCUCCUGCGGUUGCGGCUUUAUUGUGGCCUCUGCUCCCCUGACACCUGCAUUUCACUUAGCGGGAGAGGCGGUGGCCAACUCAGCACAGGCUGCGGACUCAGCGUGGUGACAGAUCCCUCAAGCUAGAAGACUUCUGUUAGGAGAAGCGUUAUCCUGUCAGUUGAUUACCCUGAGUUAUUAUUAUUGCUGUUUGACAGAUGAAAAACUGACAUGGAGAAAAGUUAGACAAUUCCUCCAAAUCACAAAGAUAAUUUGUUCAACUGAGAGAGUGCUUAACUCAGGAGAUCAAUAAAGGUUCAUAGAGGAAGAAGUAUUUGAAAUUGUCCUGGAAGAACAAUAUUUUUCAACAGGCAGAGAUGGAGAAAGGACAAUCUACAUGAACAGAAC